GACGUAGGGGGCCAGCGUUGUUCGGAAUUACUGGGUGUAAAGGGUUCGUAGGCGGUGCGGCAAGUUGGGAGUGAAAUCUCUGGGCUUAACCCAGAGGCUGCUUCCAAAACUGCUGUGCUCGAGUGUGGGAGAGGCGCGUGGAAUUGCAGGUGUAGCGGUGAAAUGCGUAGAUAUCUGCAGGAACACCCGUGGCGAAAGCGGCGCGCUGGACCACUACUGACGCUGAGGAACGAAAGCUAGGGGAGCAAACAGG
Molecule: ribosomal RNA, 253 nt
Filed under: uncultured bacterium
Lineage: Bacteria
Description: partial 16S ribosomal RNA
Rfam family: Bacterial small subunit ribosomal RNA
Source: RNAcentral